ACACUCCCGAGUGAAAUUGUUGAGUUUCCUUUGGUGAGUUUUUGCGAGUUUGAGAAAAACAAGAGAUUUGGACACUAUUCCGACACACAUCGUGUAAGGCUUAAUUCAAAACUAUCAACCACAAAAACCAGAUGAGAACAGAACACAAUUUUUUUUUUUGUCAAAACCUGGAAAACAGGGUACGAGACGUAUUGGUCAUUGCUGUGAGACUUGGAAGCGAGGGAAACAAAGAGAGAUUUGAGAUCAUCAAGCUUCUUCUGAGUAAAAGCUCUGCAACAAAACACACACACACAAUUGAUAAGAUCGAUUUUCAAAUUAGAAAUUAGAGAGUGAAAGUGAGAUUGGUUCCGAUGAAGACCUGGAAGCAGAAGUGAAGCGAUGAUCAACAGAAGACGAAUUCAAAUUCCCAUUUUCGACGGAUUUUUUUCUCUCCUCAGUUCUCCGGCAGCAGAGUAAAAUAUAAAAGUUGGUGAGUUGAAAUCACACAAAGAAGAGAAAAUAAGAAAGAUAAUAAAAGGACGAGGCAAACACGAAGAGCUCACAACGAGAUUCAUGCUUUCAGAUUUCAACUGUCACCGGAAGUUGGAAGUUCGUUUGUGAUAGGAUCUAAACAAGUAUCAAAGUCUACAAAUUCUGGAUUAAGCAAGUUAAAGACUUGUGAUUCCCCUGUAUCUUCAACAACCUCGUCUUCCAAAACUUUAUCCAAAGACAUCUGUGGAUAGCCAUAGCAAGCCGCAGUUACAUUAUACAGGAAAGCUGCAAAGAUCUUCCAAGUGAAAAAGGGUAGUGAGUUCUCUGAUUCAUACAUGGAAAGUGUUGUGAAGAACAUAGUUGUGGAUGAAAAAGAAGAGAACCCAAGAGUUGGUCUUAUGGUUAUGCCUGGGUUUUGGAUUGGUGGCAGUGUCAUUCAAAGCCGAGUUUAUGUUUCUGGUGUGAAGGUCCUUGAGUGAAGGAUCUCAGGAACUCUCUUAAUGCUUCUUCCCACUUUGUUGUGCAACUUUUAUUUUCUCUUUGUUAUAAGCAAGCCUAUAUGUAUCAUCUAUUGUUAAAAAAAAAUGGAAUU
Arabidopsis thaliana (thale cress) is the source of this 1063-nucleotide non-coding RNA. NCBI's taxonomy places the organism in Eukaryota, Viridiplantae, Streptophyta, Magnoliopsida, Brassicales, Brassicaceae. The record is from RefSeq.